UCGUCACACUAUCAUUAACUGAAUCCAUAGGUUAAUGAGGCGAACCGGGGGAACUGAAACAUCUAAGUACCCCGAGGAAAAGAAAUCAACCGAGAUUCCCCCAGUAGCGGCGAGCGAACGGGGAGGAGCCCAGAGCCUGAAUCAGCAUGUGUGUUAGUGGAAGCGUCUGGAAAGGCGCGCGAUACAGGGUGACAGCCCCGUACACAAAAGCGCAUGUGCUGUGAGCUCGAUGAGUAGGGCGGGACACGUGGUAUCCUGUCUGAAUAUGGGGGGACCAUCCUCCAAGGCUAAAUACUCCUGACUGACCGAUAGUGAACCAGUACCGUGAGGGAAAGGCGAAAAGAACCCCGGCGAGGGGAGUGAAAAAGAACCUGAAACCGUGUACGUACAAGCAGUGGGAGCCCCACCACCAAAGCAUUUGCUGUACCGCGUUGACGGAGCGAAGCGACGUCAAACCGAUAAAACAGCAGUGUA
Molecule: ribosomal RNA, 474 nt
Filed under: Salmonella enterica subsp. enterica serovar Enteritidis
Lineage: Bacteria; Pseudomonadati; Pseudomonadota; Gammaproteobacteria; Enterobacterales; Enterobacteriaceae
Description: partial 23S ribosomal RNA
Rfam family: Bacterial large subunit ribosomal RNA
Source: RNAcentral